This 564-nucleotide ribosomal RNA is filed under the name uncultured Glomeromycotina. RNAcentral describes it as "SSU rRNA". It matches the Rfam family "Eukaryotic small subunit ribosomal RNA", at positions 548 to 1114 of the family's 1831-position model. Lineage: Eukaryota; Fungi; Glomeromycota. The record is from RNAcentral.
UUGGAGGGCAAGUCUGGUGCCAGCAGCCGCGGUAAUUCCAGCUCCAAUAGCGUAUAUUUAAGUUGUUGCAGUUAAAAAGCUCGUAGUUGAACUUUGGGUUGGGUCGGCCGGUCCGCCACUGGUAUGUACUGGUCUCACUGAUUCCUCCUUCCUGAUGAGCCGUAAUGCCAUUAAUUUGGUGUUGCGAGGAAUCUGGACUGUUACUUUGAAAAAAUUAGAGUGUUUAAAGCAAGCUAACGCUUGAAUACAUUAGCAUGGAAUAAUGAAAUAGGACGUUCGAUCCUAUAUUGUUGGUUUCUAGGAUUGACGUAAUGAUUAAUAGGGAUAGUUGGGGGCAUUAGUAUUCAAUUGUCAGAGGUGAAAUUCUUGGAUUUAUUGAAGACUAACUACUGCGAAAGCAUUUGCCAAGAAUGUUUUCAUUAAUCAAGAACGAAAGUUAGGGGAUCGAAGACGAUCAGAUACCGUCGUAGUCUUAACCAUAAACUAUGCCGACUAGGGAUCGGAUGAUGUUAAUUUUUUAAUGACUCAUUCGGCGCCUUACGGGAAACCAAAGUGUUUGGGUUC